UUUAUUGGAGAGUUUGAUCCUGGCUCAGGAUGAACGCUGGCGGCGUGCCUAAUACAUGCAAGUCGAGCGAAUGGAUUAAGAGCUUGCUCUUAUGAAGUUAGCGGCGGACGGGUGAGUAACACGUGGGUAACCUGCCCAUAAGACUGGGAUAACUCCGGGAAACCGGGGCUAAUACCGGAUAACAUUUUGCAUCGCAUGGUGCGAAAUUCAAAGGCGGCUUCGGCUGUCACUUAUGGAUGGACCCGCGUCGCAUUAGCUAGUUGGUGAGGUAACGGCUCACCAAGGCAACGAUGCGUAGCCGACCUGAGAGGGUGAUCGGCCACACUGGGACUGAGACACGGCCCAGACUCCUACGGGAGGCAGCAGUAGGGAAUCUUCCGCAAUGGACGAAAGUCUGACGGAGCAACGCCGCGUGAGUGAUGAAGGCUUUCGGGUCGUAAAACUCUGUUGUUAGGGAAGAACAAGUGCUAGUUGAAUAAGCU
This 482-nucleotide ribosomal RNA is filed under the name Bacillus pseudomycoides. RNAcentral's name for it is "bacterial SSU rRNA". It matches the Rfam family "Bacterial small subunit ribosomal RNA", at positions 1 to 470 of the family's 1533-position model. The record is from RNAcentral. Lineage: Bacteria; Bacillati; Bacillota; Bacilli; Caryophanales; Bacillaceae.